UGUGGCUCCUGUUCUGCGGCGCGGGAAAGAGACGUGUAUGCCUGUGUCGUGCUGGCCUUGGUACACAACAAAUGCGUCAACAAUGGCAAUCUGUGCACAAGCCCUUUGGCCUUAGAAGAGAGAGAGCACAAGCAGGGGAGCGGCGGACAGAGGGAGAGGGAAAAGCAGACUC
This is a long non-coding RNA of Ailuropoda melanoleuca (giant panda), 172 nucleotides long. RefSeq lists it as uncharacterized. The record is from RefSeq and is a predicted model, not a curated record. The transcript has 3 exons. Lineage: Eukaryota; Metazoa; Chordata; Mammalia; Carnivora; Ursidae.